CCAUGCCGCGUGCAGGAUGACGGUCCUAUGGAUUGUAAACUGCUUUUGUACGGGAAGAAACACUCCGACGUGUCGGAGCUUGACGGUACCGUAAGAAUAAGGAUCGGCUAACUCCGUGCCAGCAGCCGCGGUAAUACGGAGGAUCCAAGCGUUAUCCGGAAUCAUUGGGUUUAAAGGGUCCGUACGCGGUCUGGUAAGUCAGUGGUGAAAGCCCAUCGCUCAACGGUGGAACGGCCAUUGAUACUGCUGGACUUGAAUUACUGGGAAGCAACUAGAAUAUGUAGUGUAGCGGUGAAAUGCUUAGAGAUUACAUGGAAUACCAAUUGCGAAGGCAGGUUGCUACCAGUGGAUUGACGCUGAUGGACGAAAGCGUGGGUAGCGAACAGGAUUAGAUACCCUGGUAGUCCACGCCGUAGACGAUGGAUACUACCUGUUGGGAGCAAUCUCAGUGGCUAAGCGAAAGUGAUAAGUAUCCCACCUGGGGAGUACGUUCGCAAGAAUGAAACUCAGAGGAAUUGACGGGGGCCCGCACAAGCGGUGGAGCAUGUGGUUUAAUUCGAUGAUACGCGAGGAACCUUACCAAGGCUUAAAUGCAGACUGACCGAUUUGGAAACAGAUCUGUCGC
Molecule: ribosomal RNA, 625 nt
Filed under: Flavobacterium sp. So3Pw_2923
Lineage: Bacteria; Pseudomonadati; Bacteroidota; Flavobacteriia; Flavobacteriales; Flavobacteriaceae
Description: bacterial SSU rRNA
Rfam family: Bacterial small subunit ribosomal RNA
Source: RNAcentral